RNAcentral lists this ribosomal RNA (354 nucleotides) under uncultured bacterium. Its description in RNAcentral is "partial 16S ribosomal RNA". It matches the Rfam family "Bacterial small subunit ribosomal RNA", at positions 338 to 684 of the family's 1533-position model. The record is from RNAcentral.
CCUACGGGUGGCAGCAGUGGGGAAUAUUGCGCAAUGGGCGAAAGCCUGACGCAGCGACGCCGCGUGAGGGAUGAAGGUCUUCGGAUCGUAAACCUCUGUCAGCAGGGAAGAACGGUCACUGUGCUAAUCAGCAGUGAAUUGACGGUACCUGCAAAGGAAGCACCGGCUCACUCCGUGCCAGCGGCCGCGGUAAUACGGAGGGUGCGAGCGUUAAUCGGAAUUGGUGGGCGUAAAGCGCUCGUAGGCGGUAAGUCCAGUCAAGGGGUAAAUCACCGCGCUCAACGUGGGAACUGCCUUUGAAACUGGCAAACUGGAGUGUGUGAGAGGAUAGUGGAAUUCCAGGUGUAGGAGUGA